AUCCAAUGAUGAACGUAUUUUUUUCAGUUCUGCUACUGAACUUCUUUGAAGACAACUUAUACCGCUUACCUUUGUCUGAUCU
Molecule: small nucleolar RNA, 82 nt
Filed under: Pyrenochaeta sp. DS3sAY3a
Lineage: Eukaryota; Fungi; Ascomycota; Dothideomycetes; Pleosporales; Cucurbitariaceae
Source: RNAcentral